UCACGGGAAGCGCGAGUCUUUUGGUUUCCGGCCCUUUGCUGGUGAGGACGGCGUAGAUAUGGUCGCUUCUUCUUGGCCUACUCCAAUGCGGAGGCCCAGGCGGCGGGUCAUGGCAUUUCAUUCGCUUUGGAAAAAGUGGAGGCUGCGUUGAUGCCAGAAGGGAUUGGAUGUAGAAACUGAGAAAUGGAAGAACAGAAAAGCUGUGUUCUCUUAAGUGAUGAUGACGUGAUUGAGUCCAUGUGCUAUUUUUGGACCCUUAAAAAAAAAAAAAACUUCUGGAAAUGUUAAGAGUACAAAUCUUCCAACUUCUGUAUUCAAAGACAGAUAAACAAUGUUGAAAAAUAUGAAGCUUGGUGCUCUACAGAUUAUCACUAAGGCCUUAGUGGAUUUAUGUUGUACACUGGACAUGGUUAUGAUCUGUUUUUACCUUAAGGUAUUAUCUACUGUUGAAGCUGUGUGUGGCCCACAGGUUUACUAUAUUUUUAUAUUUUUUUUGCUUGCCCACUAUAUGUUUAUGUACUUGAAAAAAUAAAAUUACUUGAAAACCUGUUUCAUUAUAA
Antechinus flavipes (yellow-footed antechinus) is the source of this 560-nucleotide long non-coding RNA. RefSeq lists it as uncharacterized. NCBI's taxonomy places the organism in Eukaryota, Metazoa, Chordata, Mammalia, Dasyuromorphia, Dasyuridae. The record is from RefSeq and is a predicted model, not a curated record. The transcript is spliced from 5 exons.